CCUCAGCACACGCCCUGCCCAAGCUCUUCUUCCAGCCCAAAUCCCCAGCCAGCAGCAGCACAAGACAUCUAUCCAGCAAUGGCGUCCACCUCCUGCUUCCUCCACCAGUCCACCGCCCGCCUCGCCGCCUCCGCCCGCCCCUCCGCCGCCCGCACCCAGAUCCUCGUCUGCAAGGCCCAGCAGCACGACUCCUCCGACGCCGCCACCACCCGCCGCGCCGCCCUCUCCCUCCUCGCCGGCGCCGCCGCCGCCGCCUCCCUCAAGGUCUCCCCCGCCUCCGCCGCCUACGGCGAAGCCGGUACGUAACAGAGAUCUUACCCGCCGUUUGGUCCCAACAGAUCUCUCUCUAAUUUGGUUGAUUUCUCUGUAUGUGCAGCGAAUGUGUUUGGGAAGCAGAAGAGCACGGAGUUCGUGGCGUAC
This 420-nucleotide long non-coding RNA is filed under the name Brachypodium distachyon (stiff brome). RNAcentral's name for it is "long non-coding RNA (BDIS_LNC001156)". The record is from RNAcentral. Lineage: Eukaryota; Viridiplantae; Streptophyta; Magnoliopsida; Poales; Poaceae.